AACGAACGCUGGCGGCAUGCCUAACACAUGCAAGUCGAACGAGAUCUUCGGGUCUAGUGGCGCACGGGUGCGUAACGCGUGGGAAUAUGCCCUUUGGUUCGGAAUAACAGUUGGAAACGACUGCUAAUACCGGAUGAUGACGAAAGUCCAAAGAUUUAUCGCCAGAGGAUGAGCCGGCGUAGGAUUAGCUAGUUGGUGUGGUAAAGGCGCACAAAGGCGACGAUCGUUAGCUGGUCUGAGAGGAUGAUCAGCCACACUGGGACUGAGACACGGCCCAUACUCCUACGGGAGGCAGCAGUGGGGAAUAUUGGACAAUGGGCGAAAGCCUGAUCCAGCAAUGCCGCGUGAGUGAUGAAGGCCUUAGGGUUGUAAAGCUCUUUUACCCGGGAUGAUAAUGACAGUACCGGGAGAAUAAGCUCCGGCUAACUCCGUGCCAGCCGCCGCCGUAA
This 449-nucleotide ribosomal RNA is filed under the name uncultured bacterium. RNAcentral describes it as "partial 16S ribosomal RNA". It matches the Rfam family "Bacterial small subunit ribosomal RNA", at positions 29 to 523 of the family's 1533-position model. The record is from RNAcentral.